CUACACUGUCAUAUAUGCUGUAUGGGGCUUUUUGCUUGGAGCCAGAGGUCGUCCAGGAGAAAUUAGAUCCUUGGAAGCAGUUCACAAACUUUUUGAAGAGUUUCCAGAAGCUUUUAUGAGCACCCUUCAUGUACCUCUUUCCAAUAGAACUUCUCAGCACGGACAGGUUUUUGAGAAGAAGGUUAAUGCUGCAUGGUUCUCUCUGUUUUGGAAUGAAAUCAUAGCAAAUCUUAGGGAAGAAGAUUAUAUAACAAACCAAGAAAUGGAAUUGCUUUCAAUGCCUAAUAAUUCAGGAACUCUCGCUUUGGUUCAGUGGUCCCUCUUCCUUCUUGCUAGCAAG
Long non-coding RNA from Humulus lupulus (European hop), 340 nucleotides. RefSeq lists it as uncharacterized. NCBI's taxonomy places the organism in Eukaryota, Viridiplantae, Streptophyta, Magnoliopsida, Rosales, Cannabaceae. The record is from RefSeq and is a predicted model, not a curated record. The transcript is spliced from 5 exons.